RNAcentral lists this non-coding RNA (489 nucleotides) under Dipodomys ordii (Ord's kangaroo rat). RNAcentral describes it as "Bacterial large subunit ribosomal RNA". It matches the Rfam family "Bacterial large subunit ribosomal RNA", at positions 2238 to 2873 of the family's 2925-position model. The record is from Rfam by way of RNAcentral. Lineage: Eukaryota; Metazoa; Chordata; Mammalia; Rodentia; Heteromyidae.
AUGUAAAUCUGCAACCACUGGAAUAAACAUUUUGGUUGGGGUGACCUCGGAGCAUAAAAAAACCUCCGAAGGACUAACAUUAAGACCAACUAGUCCAAAUUAUAAAUGUCCAAAUAUUGACCCAGAAAUAAUUCUGAUCAAUGAACCAAGUUACCCUAGGGAUAACAGCGCAAUCUUGUUAAAGAGUUCAUAUCGACAAUAAGGUUUACGACCUCGAUGUUGGAUCAGGACAUCCCAAUGGUGCAGCAGCUAUUAAAGGUUCGUUUGUUCAACGAUUAAAGUCCUACGUGAUCUGAGUUCAGACCGGAGCAAUCCAGGUCGGUUUCUAUCUAUUUACCUAUUUCUCCUAGUACGAAAGGACCAGAGAAAUGAGGCCAACUUUACAAAAGCGCCUUAAUACUUAAUAAAUGAUAUUAUAUCAACUUACAAAGUAACUUAACUCACUCAAUUACAUCCCGACAUUAGGGAUUGUUAAGAUGGCAGAGCCAG